This 253-nucleotide ribosomal RNA is filed under the name uncultured bacterium. Its description in RNAcentral is "partial 16S ribosomal RNA". It matches the Rfam family "Bacterial small subunit ribosomal RNA", at positions 524 to 776 of the family's 1533-position model. The record is from RNAcentral.
UACGUAGGGGGCCAGCGUUGCUCGGAGUUACUGGGCGUAAAGGGUCCGUAGGCGGUGUAGCAAGUCGAUAGUGAAAUCUCUGGGCUUAACCCAGAGGCUGCUAACGAAACUGCUGUGCUAGAGUGUGAGAGAGGCGAGUGGAAUUACGGGUGGAGCGGUGAAAUGCGUAGAGAUCUGGAGGAACAUCCGAGGCGAAGGCGGCUCGCUGGAUCACAACUGACGCUGAGGGACGAAAGCGAGGGGAGCAAACAGG